GUCGGUAUAGCACAAUGGCAGUGCGCCGCCUUGCCAAGGCGUGGAUGCGGGUCCGAUUCCCGUUACUGACUCCA
This 74-nucleotide transfer RNA is filed under the name Clostridia bacterium. RNAcentral's name for it is "tRNA-Gly". It matches the Rfam family "tRNA". Rfam says of the family: Transfer RNA (tRNA) molecules are approximately 80 nucleotides in length. Their secondary structure includes four short double-helical elements and three loops (D, anti-codon, and T loops). Further hydrogen bonds mediate the characteristic L-shaped molecular structure. tRNAs have two regions of fundamental functional importance: the anti-codon, which is responsible for specific mRNA codon recognition, and the 3' end, to which the tRNAs corresponding amino acid is attached (by aminoacyl-tRNA synthetases). tRNAs cope with the degeneracy of the genetic code in two manners: having more than one tRNA (with a specific anti-codon) for a particular amino acid; and 'wobble' base-pairing, i.e. permitting non-standard base-pairing at the 3rd anti-codon position. Lineage: Bacteria; Bacillati; Bacillota; Clostridia. The record is from RNAcentral.